Non-coding RNA from Hyla sarda, 381 nucleotides. Lineage: Eukaryota; Metazoa; Chordata; Amphibia; Anura; Hylidae. The record is from the annotation of a RefSeq genome assembly.
GGGACACUGUCGUCCACAAGAGGUUAAAUGCUGAAGGUAGAAGUGAUUCUCACGCCUACUGAUCACCCAGUAGGAUCUGCUGCUGUGUUAAAUCAGAAAAAGACAGAGACUGCACAGACUGGAAGAUCAAUUACAUUAGAAUGUGAAGUCCUUGGGUACAACAUCAAUGAUCACCACAUGCACUGGAUUAGACAAUAUCCUGGCAGAGCAACUAUGGAAUGGAUAGCCGCUUUUAGAACAGGGUGUGUUGUCAGAUCCACAACUUACACAACCCAGCUCAGAGUUGAAAAAGCCUGGAGAGAGUGUAAAAUUACCAUGUACAGCUUCUGGAUACACAUUUACCAGCUAUGCUAUAUUCUGGAUCCAACAGACUCCAAAUAA